CAGACCUCUAAUGGAAAAAAGGG
This 23-nucleotide ribosomal RNA is filed under the name Enrothia polyclada. RNAcentral's name for it is "Neckera polyclada partial 26S ribosomal RNA". The record is from RNAcentral. Lineage: Eukaryota; Viridiplantae; Streptophyta; Bryopsida; Hypnales; Neckeraceae.